RNAcentral lists this ribosomal RNA (253 nucleotides) under uncultured bacterium. RNAcentral's name for it is "partial 16S ribosomal RNA". It matches the Rfam family "Bacterial small subunit ribosomal RNA", at positions 524 to 776 of the family's 1533-position model. The record is from RNAcentral.
UACGGAGGGAGCUAGCGUUGUUCGGAAUUACUGGGCGUAAAGCGCACGUAGGCGGCUUUGUAAGUUAGAGGUGAAAGCCCGGGGCUCAACCCCGGAAUAGCCUUUAAGACUGCAUCGCUUGAAUCCGGGAGAGGUGAGUGGAAUUCCGAGUGUAGAGGUGAAAUUCGUAGAUAUUCGGAAGAACACCAGUGGCGAAGGCGGCUCACUGGACCAGUAUUGACGCUGAGGUGCGAAAGCGUGGGGAGCAAACAGG